This 2903-nucleotide ribosomal RNA is filed under the name Escherichia coli. Its description in RNAcentral is "bacterial LSU rRNA". It matches the Rfam family "Bacterial large subunit ribosomal RNA". The record is from RNAcentral. Lineage: Bacteria; Pseudomonadati; Pseudomonadota; Gammaproteobacteria; Enterobacterales; Enterobacteriaceae.
UUAAGCGACUAAGCGUACACGGUGGAUGCCCUGGCAGUCAGAGGCGAUGAAGGACGUGCUAAUCUGCGAUAAGCGUCGGUGAGGUGAUAUGAACCGUUAUAACCGGCGAUUUCCGAAUGGGGAAACCCAGUGUGUUUCGACACACUAUCAUUAACUGAAUCCAUAGGUUAAUGAGGCGAACCGGGGGAACUGAAACAUCUAAGUACCCCGAGGAAAAGAAAUCAACCGAGAUUCCCCCAGUAGCGGCGAGCGAACGGGGAGGAGCCCAGAGCCUGAAUCAGUGUGUGUGUUAGUGGAAGCGUCUGGAAAGGCGUGCGAUACAGGGUGACAGCCCCGUACACAAAAAUGCACAUAUUGUGAGCUCGAUGAGUAGGGCGGGACACGUGGUAUCCUGUCUGAAUAUGGGGGGACCAUCCUCCAAGGCUAAAUACUCCUGACUGACCGAUAGUGAACCAGUACCGUGAGGGAAAGGCGAAAAGAACCCCGGCGAGGGGAGUGAAAAAGAACCUGAAACCGUGUACGUACAAGCAGUGGGAGCCUCUUAAUGGGGUGACUGCGUACCUUUUGUAUAAUGGGUCAGCGACUUAUAUUCUGUAGCAAGGUUAACCGAAUAGGGGAGCCGAAGGGAAACCGAGUCUUAACUGGGCGUUAAGUUGCAGGGUAUAGACCCGAAACCCGGUGAUCUAGCCAUGGGCAGGUUGAAGGUUGGGUAACACUAACUGGAGGACCGAACCGACUAAUGUUGAAAAAUUAGCGGAUGACUUGUGGCUGGGGGUGAAAGGCCAAUCAAACCGGGAGAUAGCUGGUUCUCCCCGAAAGCUAUUUAGGUAGCGCCUCGUGAAUUCAUCUCCGGGGGUAGAGCACUGUUUCGGCAAGGGGGUCAUCCCGACUUACCAACCCGAUGCAAACUGCGAAUACCGGAGAAUGUUAUCACGGGAGACACACGGCGGGUGCUAACGUCCGUCGUGAAGAGGGAAACAACCCAGACCGCCAGCUAAGGUCCCAAAGUCAUGGUUAAGUGGGAAACGAUGUGGGAAGGCCCAGACAGCCAGGAUGUUGGCUUAGAAGCAGCCAUCAUUUAAAGAAAGCGUAAUAGCUCACUGGUCGAGUCGGCCUGCGCGGAAGAUGUAACGGGGCUAAACCAUGCACCGAAGCUGCGGCAGCGACGCUUAUGCGUUGUUGGGUAGGGGAGCGUUCUGUAAGCCUGUGAAGGUGGCCUGUGAGGGUUGCUGGAGGUAUCAGAAGUGCGAAUGCUGACAUAAGUAACGAUAAAGCGGGUGAAAAGCCCGCUCGCCGGAAGACCAAGGGUUCCUGUCCAACGUUAAUCGGGGCAGGGUGAGUCGACCCCUAAGGCGAGGCCGAAAGGCGUAGUCGAUGGGAAACAGGUUAAUAUUCCUGUACUUGGUGUUACUGCGAAGGGGGGACGGAGAAGGCUAUGUUGGCCGGGCGACGGUUGUCCCGGUUUAAGCGUGUAGGCUGGUUUUCCAGGCAAAUCCGGAAAACCAAGGCUGAGGCGUGAUGACGAGGCACUACGGUGCUGAAGCGACAAAUGCCCUGCUUCCAGGAAAAGCCUCUAAGCAUCAGGUAACAUCAAAUCGUACCCCAAACCGACACAGGUGGUCAGGUAGAGAAUACCAAGGCGCUUGAGAGAACUCGGGUGAAGGAACUAGGCAAAAUGGUGCCGUAACUUCGGGAGAAGGCACGCUGAUAUGUAGGUGAAGCGACUUGCUCGUGGAGCUGAAAUCAGUCGAAGAUACCAGCUGGCUGCAACUGUUUAUUAAAAACACAGCACUGUGCAAACACGAAAGUGGACGUAUACGGUGUGACGCCUGCCCGGUGCCGGAAGGUUAAUUGAUGGGGUUAGCGGUAACGCGAAGCUCUUGAUCGAAGCCCCGGUAAACGGCGGCCGUAACUAUAACGGUCCUAAGGUAGCGAAAUUCCUUGUCGGGUAAGUUCCGACCUGCACGAAUGGCGUAAUGAUGGCCAGGCUGUCUCCACCCGAGACUCAGUGAAAUUGAACUCGCUGUGAAGAUGCAGUGUACCCGCGGCAAGACGGAAAGACCCCGUGAACCUUUACUAUAGCUUGACACUGAACAUUGAGCCUUGAUGUGUAGGAUAGGUGGGAGGCUUUGAAGUGUGGACGCCAGUCUGCAUGGAGCCGACCUUGAAAUACCACCCUUUAAUGUUUGAUGUUCUAACGUUGGCCCGUAAUCCGGGUUGCGGACAGUGUCUGGUGGGUAGUUUGACUGGGGCGGUCUCCUCCUAAAGAGUAACGGAGGAGCACGAAGGUUGGCUAAUCCUGGUCGGACAUCAGGAGGUUAGUGCAAUGGCAUAAGCCAGCUUGACUGCGAGCGUGACGGCGCGAGCAGGUGCGAAAGCAGGUCAUAGUGAUCCGGUGGUUCUGAAUGGAAGGGCCAUCGCUCAACGGAUAAAAGGUACUCCGGGGAUAACAGGCUGAUACCGCCCAAGAGUUCAUAUCGACGGCGGUGUUUGGCACCUCGAUGUCGGCUCAUCACAUCCUGGGGCUGAAGUAGGUCCCAAGGGUAUGGCUGUUCGCCAUUUAAAGUGGUACGCGAGCUGGGUUUAGAACGUCGUGAGACAGUUCGGUCCCUAUCUGCCGUGGGCGCUGGAGAACUGAGGGGGGCUGCUCCUAGUACGAGAGGACCGGAGUGGACGCAUCACUGGUGUUCGGGUUGUCAUGCCAAUGGCACUGCCCGGUAGCUAAAUGCGGAAGAGAUAAGUGCUGAAAGCAUCUAAGCACGAAACUUGCCCCGAGAUGAGUUCUCCCUGAGACUUAGAGUCUCCUGAAGGAACGUUGAAGACGACGACGUUGAUAGGCCGGGUGUGUAAGCGCAGCGAUGCGUUGAGCUAACCGGUACUAAUGAACCGUGAGGCUUAACCUU